This 253-nucleotide ribosomal RNA is filed under the name uncultured bacterium. Its description in RNAcentral is "partial 16S ribosomal RNA". It matches the Rfam family "Bacterial small subunit ribosomal RNA", at positions 524 to 776 of the family's 1533-position model. The record is from RNAcentral.
UACAGAGGGAGCAAGCGUUGUUCGGAAUUACUGGGCGUAAAGGGCGCGUAGGCGGUUUUGUAAGUCUCACGUGAAAUCCCUCGGCUUAACUGAGGAACCGCGAGAGAAACUGCAAGACUUGAGUUCGGGAGAGGGAAGCGGAAUUCCGGGUGUAGCGGUGAAAUGCGUAGAUAUCCGGAGGAACACCGGUGGCGAAGGCGGCUUCCUGGACCGACACUGACGCUGAGGCGCGAAAGCUAGGGGAGCAAACGGG